AUGGAGACAGUGCCUCUGAGCGCCGACAAAGGAAGUGCAAUCCUAGGCCCAUUUAGCCCCACGCUGGGCCAGGCAUGUAACGUGUCGGACACGCAUGCUUCUGCGCUAACAGAGAAAGGUAACUGCCGAUUUACUAGGGUGGACCAAUUCCUUUUGGCGGAUGGGUCUUGGGAUGUAGAGAGGGUGAAUGAAUACUUCAUUACGGCGGACACAAGAGAGAUCUUGAAGAUAAAAGUGUCACCAAGGAUGAUAAAUGAUUUUCCUGCAUGGCAUCCUGAGAAGGACGGCCAAUUUACAGUGCGGAGUGCUUACCACCUUGCAGUUACACACCAUAUCCAACAUCAAGGGGGAGAGGGAUCGAGUAUUUGUCCUGAUGGUGAUCGCCCGGUGUGGCGCAUGUUUUGGAAAAUUGAUGUACCUCAGAAGGUUAAGAUUUGUGCGUGGAAAUUGCUGCGGAAUGGUCUACCCACACGGCAAGUGAAAAGGCAUAGACACUUGGAGGUCAUUGAGCAGUGCCAAAGGUGUGGUUACGAAACAGAGGAUAGCUUUCAUGCGGUUGUGUCUUGCCCGAUGGCUAGGGCUGUCUGGGAUGCCAUGAGCGAGGUCUGGAAGAUCCCUACAAAGGAGUCUAUACUAAAUACUGGGCAUGAAUGGCUGUUUGAUUUACUGGUCACACUCACGGAUGUGGAGAGGAUGAGGGUCCUUAUGAUUAUAUGGAGAAAUUGGCAAGUCCGAAAUGAUAUAUUGCAUGAUAAGACGCCGGCUCCAGUUGAAGCGACACGAAUUUUCUUGCAAAGUUAUGUUUCAUCCUUGCAACAAAUCAAGUUAAAUGAUGGAAGAGAUGUGGUGAAAGGAAAGGGGCCAGCUAUAGUGGAGGAUUCCACGGAUAGGAAUUUACGUUCCAAACAUCCCAAAGAGCAUAAUCCAUGGCCUCCACCUCCAGCGGGUUGGUUGGCUGUUACCACAGAUGGAUCUUUUGGAACAUGUGAUGAUGGGGCUGGGGCGGCAAUGGUAGCAAGAGAUAACAACGAAAUGAUGGCAGUCAGAGAAGGAGUCAAAGUAGCACUGAUGCAUACCUCCUCAUCGUUUAUCAUUCAAACUGACUGUGCUGCUGUUGUUAAGGUAAUGAGGGAGACUGGGCAGAACAAGUCAUACCUAGGCCAAUUCAUACAAGAGAUUAAGGAGUUGUUGAGUGAAAGGGAGCAUGUUUUCUUAUGUAUUGAUCGUUUGCAUAAUAGGGCUGCAGAUCGGCUAGCUUAUAUGUCGAGAGCGGAGCAUCGAACCGACUUGUGGUUGCAGGAUGCCCCACAUGCUCUGAAUAACUUGCUGGCUGCUGAUUGUAAUCCUAUCAUUGUUUAA
This 1359-nucleotide ribosomal RNA is filed under the name Triticum aestivum (bread wheat). RNAcentral describes it as "partial small subunit ribosomal RNA". Lineage: Eukaryota; Viridiplantae; Streptophyta; Magnoliopsida; Poales; Poaceae. The record is from RNAcentral.